UUUCGCAAUGCCCGAAAGGGUGACGAAGCGACGCCGCGUGCGGGAAGAAGGCCUUCGGGUUGUAAACCGCUGUCGGGAGUUAAGAAAUGUAAGGAUGUUAAUAGCAUCUUUGCUUGACUAAGGCUCCGGAGGAAGCCACGGCUAACUCUGUGCCAGCAGCCGCGGUAAUACAGAGGCGGCAAGCGUUGUUCGGAAUUAUUGGGCGUAAAGAGCACGUAGGCGGCUAUGUAAGUCGGUUGUGAAAGCCUUCCGCUCAACGGGAGAACAGCAGCCGAUACUGCAUGGCUUGAGUGCGGGAGGGGAGAGUGGAACUUCUGGUGGAGCGGUGAAAUGCGUAGAUAUCAGAAGGAACGCCGGCGGCGAAAGCGGCUCUCUGGCCCAUAACUGACGCUGAGUGUGCGAAAGCUAGGGGAGCAAACGGGAUUAGAUACCCCGGUAGUCCUAGCCGUAAACGAUGGGCACUAAGUAGAGGGGUUUU
RNAcentral lists this ribosomal RNA (478 nucleotides) under uncultured Planctomycetota bacterium. Its description in RNAcentral is "bacterial SSU rRNA". It matches the Rfam family "Bacterial small subunit ribosomal RNA", at positions 364 to 832 of the family's 1533-position model. The record is from RNAcentral. Lineage: Bacteria; Pseudomonadati; Planctomycetota.